GACGAACCGUGCGAACGUUGUUCGGAAUCACUGGGCUUAAAGGGCGCGUAGGCGGGCCGGCAAGUCAGGGGUGAAAUCCCACGGCUCAACCGUGGAAGUGCCUUUGAUACUGCGGGUCUGGAGGGAGGUAGGGGCGUGCGGAACUUCCGGUGGAGCGGUGAAAUGCGUAGAUAUCGGAAGGAACACCGGUGGCGAAAGCGGCGCGCUGGACCUCUACUGACGCUGAGGCGCGAAAGCCAGGGGAGCAAACGGG
Molecule: ribosomal RNA, 253 nt
Filed under: uncultured bacterium
Lineage: Bacteria
Description: partial 16S ribosomal RNA
Rfam family: Bacterial small subunit ribosomal RNA
Source: RNAcentral